Molecule: transfer RNA, 87 nt
Filed under: Amicula sp. isolate GU52X-4 cfCalB7
Lineage: Eukaryota; Bacillariophyta; Bacillariophyceae; Diploneidales; Diploneidaceae
Description: tRNA-Ser
Rfam family: tRNA
About the family: Transfer RNA (tRNA) molecules are approximately 80 nucleotides in length. Their secondary structure includes four short double-helical elements and three loops (D, anti-codon, and T loops).
Source: RNAcentral
GGCGAGAUGGCAGAGCGGUCGAUUGCGUCGGUUUUGAAAACCGAUGAAUCUUUACAGAUUCCGUGGGUUCGAAUCCCACUCUCGCCU